GAUGAACGCUGGCGGCGUGCCUAAUACAUGCAAGUCGAGCGAACGGACGAGAAGCUUGCUUCUCUGAUGUUAGCGGCGGACGGGUGAGUAACACGUGGAUAACCUACCUAUAAGACUGGGAUAACUUCGGGAAACCGGAGCUAAUACCGGAUGAUAUUUUGAACCGCAUGGUUCAAAAGUGAAAGACGGUCUUGCUGUCACUUAUAGAUGGAUCCGCGCUGCAUUAGCUAGUUGGUAAGGUAACGGCUUACCAAGGCAACGAUGCAUAGCCGACCUGAGAGGGUGAUCGGCCACACUGGAACUGAGAAACGGUCCAGACUCCUACGGGAGGCAGCAGUAGGGAAUCUUCCGCAAUGGGCGAAAGCCUGACGGAGCAACGCCGCGUGAGUGAUGAAGGUCUUCGGAUCGUAAAACUCUGUUAUUAGGGAAGAACAUAUGUGUAAGUAACUGUGCACAUCUUGACGGUACCUAAUCAGAAAGCCACGGCUAACUACGUG
This 497-nucleotide ribosomal RNA is filed under the name uncultured bacterium. Its description in RNAcentral is "partial 16S ribosomal RNA". It matches the Rfam family "Bacterial small subunit ribosomal RNA", at positions 28 to 507 of the family's 1533-position model. The record is from RNAcentral.